CUUAUUCUUAAGCUGCUGAAGGCCUGUAGCCUUAUCCACAGUCAAAGAUAUGUUGAGCAUCAUAGAGUCCUUCCUCUAAAGACCACAAAGUAUUGAUAUGGUGAUGAGAUAAUUUUGAUCCUUGAACUCUUUCCUUCAUACUCUGAACAUGGGCCAAAUAAAAAAUAGAUGCCCACAUUACAAUGGAAUAAAUAAUAUUUGUAUAUUUGCUUGGCUUAAGUUCCAUGUCAUAAAUCAAAUGAAAAUUAUACCUCACAAUACAAAAUUUAUUAGAUUGGAGUUCUUCUUAGAAAUUUGUCACCUCUUUCGUUUUAACAAAAGGAAAAAUGUCACCACAUUUCACGCCUAUAUUCCUUCCCCUUGGUUUCACUAAAAAAUCAGAAAGGCAUCUUUAUGUGUUCCAUAGGUGAAUGAACACCUCUGAAUUUGGUUAUUACUAGAUUUCAAGUAAAUACUGUUGAACUUAACCUUCAUUAGCUUCAAUAAAGAGUUACUUCCAAUAUUUUAGUUUCAGAUUAAUUGGAUCUCUGCUUGUCUUUUAGUUUCAAGUGGAUUUUUUACAUUGAAUGAUUCCCUUCUACAAUACUAGCACUCUUGAUUUUUAUCCUGUCACUUGACUAUAACAUAGACUUCAUAUCCCAGCAUAUCUUGCAGCCAUUUUUGGUCAGAUGACUAAGUGUUGACCAAAGACAUGUGAAGGAACUAUGUGCCACUUCUAAAGUGUGUUCUUAAAGAGAACCCACAUACCCUUCUGUCCCUCAGUCAUGGUACUUCUAUUCUGCUACUUAUAAAUUGGAUGUAGUAGCUUAUCAUCUUGAACUGUAGGGAUUACUUCAAUACCCCUGACAUUGUGGAACCCAGGUUCUUUGAUAUAGAGUAAUCUGCCUGCUAAACAUCUGUAUGAUUAAGAAAUAAACUUUUAUUUUAUGUAAGCAACUAAUAACUUGUGUUUCUGUCAUACAAAUCUAAGGUGAUUUGAUAUAUGGUAUAUUUUACUUCUAUGCUACUUAAUAUUUCUUUUUAGAAAAAUUAAGCAAGAGGAAAUCAUAAUAAGCCAAGAUCUUAAACAAAGAAAAUUUCCAAGUGAAAAUGCAUUGUGUCACUCUUCCAAAUCAAAUAAAAUGAGUUUGGCAAAAGUUUUAAAUUUUAACAAUUUAUUUAGAUGUCUUCCCUCGUGCAUAUAAUGUUAUAAUUCUC
RNAcentral lists this long non-coding RNA (1197 nucleotides) under Marmota monax (woodchuck). The record is from RNAcentral. Lineage: Eukaryota; Metazoa; Chordata; Mammalia; Rodentia; Sciuridae.